This 434-nucleotide ribosomal RNA is filed under the name Arthrobacter sp. IGS139. RNAcentral describes it as "bacterial SSU rRNA". It matches the Rfam family "Bacterial small subunit ribosomal RNA", at positions 22 to 455 of the family's 1533-position model. Lineage: Bacteria; Bacillati; Actinomycetota; Actinomycetes; Micrococcales; Micrococcaceae. The record is from RNAcentral.
GCUCAGGAUGAACGCUGGCGGCGUGCUUAACACAUGCAAGUCGAACGAUGAUCUCCAGCUUGCUGGGGGGAUUAGUGGCGAACGGGUGAGUAACACGUGAGUAACCUGCCCUUAACUCUGGGAUAAGCCUGGGAAACUGGGUCUAAUACCGGAUAUGACUCCUCAUCGCAUGGUGGGGGGUGGAAAGCUUUUUGUGGUUUUGGAUGGACUCGCGGCCUAUCAGCUUGUUGGUGAGGUAAUGGCUCACCAAGGCGACGACGGGUAGCCGGCCUGAGAGGGUGACCGGCCACACUGGGACUGAGACACGGCCCAGACUCCUACGGGAGGCAGCAGUGGGGAAUAUUGCACAAUGGGCGAAAGCCUGAUGCAGCGACGCCGCGUGAGGGAUGACGGCCUUCGGGUUGUAAACCUCUUUCAGUAGGGAAGAAGCGAAA